GGUCUUCACCAUGAUAACUGUGGAGUAAGAAUUAUAAGCAGGUCACAGAUUAGGGACUUGAGAUUGACAGUUUGGCUUCCCUGUUCUGGGUGGCAAAGCCUGUGGAGUACUCACCUACCUGCUGCAUGAAGGCAGCAUGGAGGGACUGUGGUGGAUUAUCUGCAAAGAUGGCCAAAAUUCUCUCAUCCCUGCAGGCACAUACAAGAACUGAAGCUCAGCUCUUCACCCUACAGAAAGCCUGAAUUUUGUAAAUGUUCUGCUUAGAAUGAGGAAGAAAGAUGAAGAAUGAGGAGGAAGAAGGAAGGAACGAGAGAGAGGUAAAGCCAACAAGCAGAACAGACCUACAUUUGCAGCAUCUCCAAGUUUCUGCAACAGCAUUAUGUUGUUGUUAUGUUUUGUUUUAAUAAAAGCACAUACCAUUUU
Molecule: long non-coding RNA, 423 nt
Filed under: Homo sapiens (human)
Lineage: Eukaryota; Metazoa; Chordata; Mammalia; Primates; Hominidae
Description: long intergenic non-protein coding RNA 3156
Source: RNAcentral